CCCUUAGAUGUCCGGGGCCGCACGCGCGCUACACUGAAGGAAUCAGCGUGGCUUUCUCCCUGACCCGAAAGGGUUGGGAAACCCGUUGAAUCUCCUUCGUGAUAGGGAUUGGGGCUUGAAAUUGUUCCCCAUGAACGAGGAAUUCCCAGUAAGCGCGAGUCAUAAGCUCGCGUUGAUUACGUCCCUGCCCUUUGUACACACCGCCCGUCGCUCCUACCGAUGAGUCGUCCGGUGAAGUUCGUAGACCUCGUGAUUGCGGAUCACUGGGGGAAGCAAAAUGAACCUCGCGGUUUAGAGGAAGGAGAAGUCGUAACA
This 315-nucleotide ribosomal RNA is filed under the name uncultured eukaryote. Its description in RNAcentral is "partial 18S ribosomal RNA". It matches the Rfam family "Eukaryotic small subunit ribosomal RNA", at positions 1470 to 1796 of the family's 1831-position model. The record is from RNAcentral.